RNAcentral lists this non-coding RNA (30 nucleotides) under Rattus norvegicus (Norway rat). Lineage: Eukaryota; Metazoa; Chordata; Mammalia; Rodentia; Muridae. The record is from RNAcentral.
UGUGCUCUUGAUGUAGAUUCUCCUGUUGCU